GGCUCUCUCCGGAUCGCAGGUGCUCUGGGUCACCAACCAGAGACUUCACAAUCUCUGGUAAAAAAAAAAAAUGUUCAUAACGGACUUCAAAGAAACAUUAACAGAAUAAGCACUUAACAAAGGCAACUCAACUAACAAGAACGCCUCAGGAAAAGUUGGUAGCUUAAAGACAAGAUGUUAUCAGGGGCCACAUCAUCUAAAGACUUGACUGGAUCUGGGGGAACCGCGUCAAGAUACUUUGUUCCCGUGGCCGCUGUCUUAGAUGCCACUAAGUGAAGACAUUGGAUACAAAUGGGCAGAUGCAUUGGAUACAUGUACCAAAGGAGAAUCCAAGCUACCUGAGACUCCAUCCA
This is a long non-coding RNA of Suricata suricatta (meerkat), 353 nucleotides long. RefSeq lists it as uncharacterized. The record is from RefSeq and is a predicted model, not a curated record. Lineage: Eukaryota; Metazoa; Chordata; Mammalia; Carnivora; Herpestidae. The transcript has 4 exons.